GAUGAACGCUGGCGACAGGCUUAACACAUGCAAGUCGAGGGGAAACGACGGGGAAGCUUGCUUCUCCGGGCGUCGACCGGCGCACGGGUGAGUAACGCGUAACCAACCUGCCUCUGACGGAGGGAUAACCCGUCGCAAGUCGGCCUAAGACCUCAUGGCAUCAUCGGCGGGCAUCAAAGGACGAUUAAAGAUUUCAGCGACCAGAGGAGGGGAUGCGUCUGCUUAGCUUAUUGGCGAGGGAACGGCCCACCAAGGCGACGGUCAGUAGGGGGUCUGGUGGGAAGGCCCCCCACAUCGGAACCGCGACCCGGUCCCCACUCCUACGGGAGGGAGCAGUGUGGUAUAUUGGUCACUGGGCGCUAGCCUGACCCAGCCACGUAGCGUGCAGGAUGCCGGCCCUAUUGGUUGUCUACUGCUUUUAUGCGAGGAUAAUGUGAGGGACGGGUCCUUCCUUGCCGGUACCGAAUGAAUAAGCACCGGCUAAUUACGUG
This 491-nucleotide ribosomal RNA is filed under the name uncultured bacterium. RNAcentral describes it as "partial 16S ribosomal RNA". It matches the Rfam family "Bacterial small subunit ribosomal RNA", at positions 28 to 507 of the family's 1533-position model. The record is from RNAcentral.